RNAcentral lists this long non-coding RNA (1361 nucleotides) under Mustela putorius furo (domestic ferret). RNAcentral describes it as "lncRNA (ENSMPUG00000023882.1)". The record is from RNAcentral. Lineage: Eukaryota; Metazoa; Chordata; Mammalia; Carnivora; Mustelidae.
CUUAUGUUCUGUAAGUAAGUGAAACCAUAUGGUAAGUUCUUUAUAGAUUUUGAAUACUAGUCCUUUAUCUGAUAUGUCAUUUGCAAAUACCUUCUCUCAUUCUGUCGGUUGUCUUUUGGUUUUGUUGAUUGUUUCCUUUGCUGUGCAAAAGCUUUUUAUCUUGAUGAAGUCCCAAUAGUUCAUUUUUGCCCUUGCUUCCCUUGCCUUUGGCGAUGUUUCUAAGAAGUUGAUGCGACUGAGGUCUAAGAGUUUGCUGCCUGUGUUCUCCUCAAGGAUUUUGAUGGAUACCUGUUUCACAUCCAGGUCUUUCAUCCAUUUCAGAGUUUUAUUUCUGGCUGUGAUUACUGGAGACCUGAAGGUGUUGAAGAUGAUUUAGUGAAGAAUAUGGGCCCAGGAAUCAAAUACACCCAGGCUGGCCAACUGGCUUUGUCACCUACUGACCAUCAACCACUACCUUCCCAGAAAAUGAGUAUGUUAAUGUUAACUGCACCCUGCCUUUCGUCCAUUGGCACCAGCAGAGAGGAUUAUAGGAGGAAUGAGAAGAGGCCUCACUUGAACAAGGAAGGACUGUCUCUCACCAGGCAUAGAUUUAGCUGACCUGGGAAGCAUAUUGUCUUUACAACAAUGGAGGCAGGAGAGAACUUCAGUUGGGGUCACAUAGAAUAAAGGAUACCUGCUGCCAUCCUGGGUUGCCCUUGGGUACUAAGGGUCAGAGAAACCACCAUAAAACCAAGCCAGAGAAGAGUUGACACAUGGGCCCACACACACAGCUUAAGACAAUGGUCUGUUGGUGUUGAACUUGUCCUAUAUCCAGUGUUUGAGAGUCAGUAAAAAUCAUGAUGUCACUGCCAUUCUGGUAGCCCAGUCUCACACAAUUCUAUGAAAGAAUUUAUGAACCAAGCAGCAUGAGCAUUCCACUUGCCAGGAUGUCCUCUGGGAACCAGGGUCCACCCAGGACCUGAAGAAACCUUUUGGUGUAUGGAUAGGGUAGAUGGUAGAAGAGCAUGAAGGGGGGGAUGAAAGAAGACGAGGACCCACAUGGAUCCUGGUCUGGGCUAGGGUGCUUUCCAGGGGGUUCUGCUGACCCUGGCUGGUCCCUGGCUGAAGGAGGCCUUAGGAAAUUUCAAAGAAGACACCUCUGGACCAGAACACAUACAAAAUCAGAUCUGAACUCGGUUCUCACCAUUUAGCUCUAAGUCCCGGGCCGAGGAGGGAACAUAGAACCUCAAGGAAUUGCACUUCUAAAGGGCAGGGGUCUCACUUGCUUACAAGUGUGAAAGGUGAUAUUUUUCAAUUUAUGCAUUUAUGGAAAUGGCUUUUUCCACCCUAAUCCUUGAUUUUUAGUUGUAUGGAAUUCAAGG